UACGUAGGGUGCAGGCGUUAUUCGGAAUUACUGGGCGUAAAGCGUGCGUAGGCGGUCUGCUAAGACAGGUGUGAAAUCCCCGGGCUUAACCUGGGAACUGCAUUUGUGACUGCAUCGCUGGAGUGCGGAAGAGGGGGAUGGAAUUCCGCGUGUAGCAGUGAAAUGCGUAGAUAUGCGGAGGAACACCGAUGGCGAAGGCGAUCCCCUGGGCCUGCACUGACGCUCAUGCACGAAAGCGUGGGGAGCAAACAGG
This 253-nucleotide ribosomal RNA is filed under the name uncultured bacterium. Its description in RNAcentral is "partial 16S ribosomal RNA". It matches the Rfam family "Bacterial small subunit ribosomal RNA", at positions 524 to 776 of the family's 1533-position model. The record is from RNAcentral.